This is a non-coding RNA of Malus domestica (apple), 3382 nucleotides long. The record is from RefSeq and is a predicted model, not a curated record. Lineage: Eukaryota; Viridiplantae; Streptophyta; Magnoliopsida; Rosales; Rosaceae.
AAAAUCCCAAGGAGCUUUGUGUUUUCCAGACGCAAGUUGCCUGGUCCUCUGAAUCAGCUUCAAGAUGAUUUGAGGAAACUGAUGCUUCCUUACACUGCCCUUAAGCUUAAGGAGAAGAGGCGGAACAAUCUUAGAAACUUUUUGAUUGUGGCUGGGCCUAUGGGGGUUACACAUUUCCUCAUGUUGUAAAAAACUCCAACUGCGCCAUACCUUAGGGUUGCGAGGGCACCUCAAGGCUCAACGAUAUUUUCAUAAGAUAUGCAAAGGGUUCCAUUUCUAUUGUCUUUGUGGGUUUUUAGGGGUGCAGAUCCUGAUUGACAAGGAAGAAUAGAAACGGAUAUAACAACAGUGAGACCAAAUGGGAGAUCCAAUGAAAAAAAAAAUAUCAAUGGAUAAACCGAGGCCUAUAGAUUCCAAUUGCCUUACAACCGCCGCCAGAGAGGUCGGAUUGUCCAGAGCGCUGCCUCUUCCUCCAGCAACACCGUUGUGUCAGAUGUUAAGCUGCAGCUCCAGGAGGAGGACCACAUCAAUGGCUUCAAUCCCAUUUCCACUUUUGCUUCCGUGUGGUUCGAAUUUGCCAGGAAUGUGUCCGGUGAAUGGGAUGGCCAUGGAGCAGACUUUACAAGGGAAGGGUGCCCAAUAAAACUUCCCGAGAAUGUUGUACCUGCAGCUUACAGGGAGUGGGAGGUUACGGUUUUCGAUUGGCAGACUCAAUGCCCCACUCUUGCUAACCCAGAUGAGCACAUUCUUUUAUACAAGAAUAUAGAGCUACUUCCUGCUGUUGGAUGUGAAGCUAAUGCUGCCACUCGAUGACUCCAGAGAUUGUUGAUGAUCCAUUCCAAACUAUGUGAGUUUUCAAGAAGAGCUAGCCAAUUUAACAUGAGCGGAUAUGAGGGAAUCUGAUUUCAGUGGUUCUACUUUCAAUGGUGCAUACAUGGAGAAAGCUGUCACGUAUAAGGCAAACUUUGAGGGAAGAGCACUGUGGUGUGUGCUUUGAGUGGGAGUUUGUACCGCAGGGGAAGCUGUUGUACAUUCUUGAUGGGGACAAUGUCAGGCAUGGCUUGAAUUGCGACCUUAGUUUUAAAGCCGAAAAUCGUGCAGAGAACAUUUGGAGGAUUGGUAGUAUGUGAACCACCGGUUAAGAAAAUGGGUCCAAAUUCAGAGCUGCAUUUUUCUUCCCUCAAAAUAAGAAGAAAACAUUUCCUCAACUCCAUAUUUCAGCACCUCAACUCUAAAGCCUUCUAUUUCUUUCUGUUUCUUCAGAGCUAAUUUACCCAUAUUUUAUUUGUAAAGUGAAAGAUUGGAUUUCACAUGUUUGAGUACUUCCGGUUUUGUACAAUACAAACUUGAGCUUAUUGAUCCAAAUGGCUAGAACAGUAUACUCAACCAAUUUCAUAUCCUCUUGGCCAAAUAAGAGUAUAAUACUUGCUACUAAGAAAAAUACUUCUAUAAUAGCAAUGUGUUGGUGUGUGGCAUGCUCUAAUUAGAGAUAUUUUUGGGUUAUAAUAAGAAAGCCACAAAGAGAGAGAGAGCGUUUGUUUAUUUGGAUUUGGUUAAUGUUUCAAUCGUAAAUGUGAUGAUAGAAUGAAAGCUGAGGACACACAAAUAAUAAAUGUAGUUUGGAAUUUGUAAGUUACAAGCUUAUGGAAAGUAAGCUUUUGUAGUUGUUUAAUGACAUAGUCAAAGAGUUGUCCAUCUAAUGUUUACUCUACAAUGGCUGUCAAUGAACACUAUAGUCUCAUUCCGUGGGAGAAAUUUCAAAGUAAGAUGUUAAUGUCUGAAACAAGCCUAUGUUGAAAUUUAUUUCAUCGUUUUGUUUUUUGUAUGAUAUAUUUAUUGUUGAAAUUUUCUUACUGCUUUGUUUUAUAAAAGAUUCAGGAUGGGGAUAAUUUAGCUUUCAUCGAUUGGCAUCGUUUUUUAAGUUUUGUCUGUGCUUUUGUUUGCAGGAUCAACUUGGGAAAGAACAGAGGAGAGCACAAGUAUUAUCGAUUUAUUUGCUAUAGUAUUGUCCCUCUUCCUCUGGCCUCCUGAAGUGUUUCCAUUCCAGUGUCACCAUCUUUUGUUUCAUUCAUUUGUAGAAUAUAUUCUUCUUUUUUCUAUGCCUUUAUUACCUCCUUUUAACUUUGAUUAUUUGUACUUGAUGAGUAUUAUUAGACCCAUUCUCAAAAAUUGCAUCCCCUGCUUCUUCCUUAUGGUCCUUAUACUCAAACAUGUGCAAGUUUGUAUUUUUCUAUGGGAUUGGACUGUUGGGAACUUAGGUACUUUUACUUUUUAUAUAUUUUUGUUGGGUUUUUUCUUUUUCGGAAAAUGAGUAUUUGAUUAAUCGCUUGAGUUGUGCUUUCAAAAGGACUGUUAGAAGUUUUGUGUCAAUUUGGUUGUGAUGGUAAGAUUACUUUAUGUAACAUUAUGUUGUGGCAUGUGAGUGUCGAACUUUUUUCUUAAUUUAAUUUCGGAAAGAAAUGCGUUUAACAGUAGUCCUAUAUGAUGAAGUUAGCAUCCUUAUAAGUUGGGAACCUAAAACAAUAGUGGUGUACCCAUAAAUUCCUAAUUUUCUCUGCCUCCUUCCCCUCUACUUGCAUCAGUUGUGACUUAUUUUCUUUUUUGGUUCUAUCUCAGGAGUUUGUUAGGGAGAAAGUUCAUGAAUGAAAGAAAUCUAAUCGAGAGAUAAAAGUUAGGAUCUGCAGAGAUUAAAAAGUGAAAAAGGGCGAAGGAAAGCGAUGCUGACUCACGAAAGAUGGUUCAAAUCUCUGUUGGAGGUACAUUGGAUUUAUGUUUCUGAUGUGUUAAGUACAUUGUUAGAACUAUAGAUUUGGAUUGAACUCAAUGUUGUCCGUGUGUAUAUUGAAAUAUGUGUGUAUAUAUAGAUAUGUGUGUGUAUAGAUUUAUACACAAGGGGAAGAUGGAUGGAUAGGUGUAUGCUUAGUCCGUAAAAGAAGAGAAAACGAAAACCACACCAAACAACUCGCAUUUAAAGCUCUUUUUCUUUUUUCCUUUUGACAUAAAUCUCUCUUUGUUAGAUUGCUAGGGGGCUGAUUCUUUCUCGAAUUUGUGGUGCACAAAAAAUGGUUUAGUAUAUGUGAAGGGGAUGAGAGAAGGCAGAUAUGAAAAUGUUGUAUCAGAGAUGAUUCCUUUACAGAGUUCGGUGCUUACGUUUGUAGCUUUAAGAUCGGUGUGGAUGUUUCAUAACAUUCAAGGAUCCUCAAUUCCAAUGUGUUUCAUAACAAUGAAGGAUCCCCGAUUCUACUAUCAGCAUGGAUGUUUCAUAACAUUGAAGGAUCCCCUAUUCCAGUGUGGAUGUUUCAUUGUACAAUGUGUUUAUAUGUUAUCUCACUUGAAUGUACAUAAAAGCAAAAUUGCUUAUCUUAUCGACUUCAUUUACUCA